CCAAGUUGUUCAUUGGCCCGAUCUCGUCUGAUCUCGGAAGCUAAGCAAGGUCGCACCUGGUUAGUACUUGGAUGGGAGACCAAGUUGUUCAUUAGGCCAGUUGGG
RNAcentral lists this ribosomal RNA (105 nucleotides) under Chinchilla lanigera (long-tailed chinchilla). Lineage: Eukaryota; Metazoa; Chordata; Mammalia; Rodentia; Chinchillidae. The record is from RNAcentral.